RNAcentral lists this unclassified non-coding RNA (664 nucleotides) under Hevea brasiliensis (rubber tree). Lineage: Eukaryota; Viridiplantae; Streptophyta; Magnoliopsida; Malpighiales; Euphorbiaceae. The record is from RNAcentral.
UCUGCUGGCUUGGAUUUGAAAUAUAACUGCAACGUGAACAUCUUUGAGUCAGGAUCCCAAUGUGAGAAGAACUUCGGAGUGGAUUUAUCAAUUUCUGUGCUAGGAACCUUGAAAGCAAUGAUCUCAUAAGGUUCUGCAGCAAAUAAAAGAUACUGGUAUCUCUUGUCAUAGGGUUGCACUUUCUGCUCAAAAGAUGACAUAAAUCGAUGUCUUGGUUUUGUAUUGUCUUCUAUCUCAGGAUAUUCAAUCUGGAAGAGAAGAGAUCUCUGCUUUGUCUCUGGAUCAAAUUGCUUUGUAACUCGGUACCCAGGCCUUCCAAUUUUAACUGUCUUGCGAAUGUUAACCUUGCGCUUGUUGGGCUGGGGGAGAGCAGGAGCCUCCUUAGCCUCGCGAGCAGCUCUCUUGGCCAAAUUGGUCUGGUGUCUCUUCCCUUGAGUGUGAGCCAAAUAGUUCCCUUCAUUGUUGUGCAAAGUCAGACACAGCUUACACUCAUAACUCCCAAGGUGGUUGCGCAUGAAAUAUGGAUCCUUGGCUAGAUCGAUGGUCUCAAGUGCGAGCCGGCGGAGACGCUCGCGGCGGUCAAUGGCCUCGUUCUGGGCCGAGGCGGCGCCACCGCUGCCCGGCUUGGAACCCCAUUCUCUAUCCAUGAUCUAAUUCUCUUGCC